Molecule: ribosomal RNA, 253 nt
Filed under: uncultured bacterium
Lineage: Bacteria
Description: partial 16S ribosomal RNA
Rfam family: Bacterial small subunit ribosomal RNA
Source: RNAcentral
UACGGAGGGUGCAAGCGUUAAUCGGAAUUACUGGGCGUAAAGCGUGCGCAGGCGGUUUGUUAAGUCCGUUGUGAAAGCCCCGAGCUCAACUUGGGAAUUGCAGUGGAUACUGGCAGGCUGGAGUACGGUAGAGGAAGGUGGAAUUCCCGGUGUAGCAGUGAAAUGCGUAGAGAUCCGGAGGAACACCGACGGCGUAGGCAGCGCCCUAGACGAGACCUGACGCUCAGGCACGAAAGCGCGGGGAGCGAACAGG